AGGAGAGGUGUGCUGUGGAGGGCUUUUAUAGUGGGACAGAUUUUCUCUGAAUACCCCAGGUUUUAGCCUACAUUCAUACAAAGUGGGCAGUAAAUAAAUAUUUUUGAAAAUAAAGUCUGAAAAUCAUAUAAGUUUUUGGUUCCUUAACACAAUUUCCCUUCUCAUAAUUCAGAACCACCAUGCAUCAACUUCCCACUUCUCCUCACUGGAAAAUUGGAGGACUAUCUCCAAAUGGUUUUUGGACCUUAAGGCAGAGGGAGAAAAGUUUGCAUCCUUCAAGCAGAAGCUCCCAUGGAGUUUGUUGGUAAAGCAAGUUGUCUCAGGAAGUAAUGACUGAAGAUACAAUGCCUAGAAGUGUCACAGGCAACUUGCAACCUUGAGGAUAAAUUUCACAUGCUGAGCAUGAAGGAGCAUAAUGACAGAAGCUUGGAUUCUUUCUCAACGCCAUUGAAUGAAGAGAAAGCUGACAGUUGGAUGAAGAAAGGCCUUGUGGAGGAAGCGUCAUUAGAGCUGACCUUCAGGAAAAAGUUCAGUGUUUUUGCAGGCAAUCCUGGGGAAGUUAUUACAGAAAGUGCAGAGGAGAUCACUGGAUCAGAGGUGAAAAGAACAUGCAAGCGACCCUGAGGAAGCCAGCAACUAAGCUGCCCCAGAAGUCAGGAGUCUUUCAGUCUUUUCCGUGCUUAGAGCCUCAUCAACCAAGACAGGUGUGUG
This is a long non-coding RNA of Neofelis nebulosa (Clouded leopard), 711 nucleotides long. RefSeq lists it as uncharacterized. The transcript has 3 exons. NCBI's taxonomy places the organism in Eukaryota, Metazoa, Chordata, Mammalia, Carnivora, Felidae. The record is from RefSeq and is a predicted model, not a curated record.